AUUGAACGCUGGCGGCACGCCUAACACAUGCAAGUCGGGCGGAUGAAGGGAGCUUGCUCCUGGAUUCAGCGGCGGACGGGUGAGUAAUGCCUAGGAAUCUGCCUGGUAGUGGGGGAUAACGUCCGGAAACGGGCGCUAAUACCGCAUACGUCCUGAGGGAGAAAGUGGGGGAUCUUCGGACCUCACGCUAUCAGAUGAGCCUAGGUCGGAUUAGCUAGUUGGUGGGGUAAAGGCCUACCAAGGCGACGAUCCGUAACUGGUCUGAGAGGAUGAUCAGUCACACUGGAACUGAGACACGGUCCAGACUCCUACGGGAGGCAGCAGUGGGGAAUAUUGGACAAUGGGCGAAAGCCUGAUCCAGCCAUGCCGCGUGUGUGAAGAAGGUCUUCGGAUUGUAAAGCACUUUAAGUUGGGAGGAAGGGCAGUAAGUUAAUACCUUGCUGUUUUGACGUUACCAACAGAAUAAGCACCGGCUAACUUCGUG
RNAcentral lists this ribosomal RNA (484 nucleotides) under uncultured bacterium. RNAcentral's name for it is "partial 16S ribosomal RNA". It matches the Rfam family "Bacterial small subunit ribosomal RNA", at positions 30 to 507 of the family's 1533-position model. The record is from RNAcentral.